Molecule: ribosomal RNA, 366 nt
Filed under: uncultured Pantoea sp.
Lineage: Bacteria; Pseudomonadati; Pseudomonadota; Gammaproteobacteria; Enterobacterales; Erwiniaceae
Description: bacterial SSU rRNA
Rfam family: Bacterial small subunit ribosomal RNA
Source: RNAcentral
GUGCCAGCAGCUGUGGUAAUACGGAGGGUGCAAGCGUUAAUCGGAAUUACUGGGCGUAAAGCGCACGCAGGCGGUCUGUUAAGUCAGAUGUGAAAUCCCCGGGCUUAACCUGGGAACUGCAUUUGAAACUGGCAGGCUUGAGUCUCGUAGAGGGGGUAGAAUUCCAGGUGUAGCGGUGAAAUGCGUAGAGAUCUGGAGGAAUACCGGUGGCGAAGGCGGCCCCCUGGACGAAGACUGACGCUCAGGUGCGAAAGCGUGGGAGCAAACAGGAUUAGAUACCCUGGUAAGUCCACGCCGUAACGAUGUCGACUUGGAGGUUGUUCCCUUGGAGGAUGGCUUCCGGAGCUAACGCGUUAAGUCCGACCG